Molecule: long non-coding RNA, 744 nt
Organism: Mesocricetus auratus (golden hamster)
Lineage: Eukaryota; Metazoa; Chordata; Mammalia; Rodentia; Cricetidae
Exons: 2
Source: RefSeq, a predicted model, not a curated record
CCUGGUUUACAGAGCAAGUUCCAGGACAACCUCCAAAGCCACAGAGAAACCCUGUCUCCAAAAACAAAAAACAAAAAAAAAAAAGAAAAAGUCUCUAGGUUUGGAUCUCCACCAAUGUCUGCAGCUGUGGUCAACAGACAUUAGCCUGACUCCCAAGCAGCCUUGGGCAUCUGGUCGGCUGAGGUCCUCUCUAGGGGGGGUCUCAGUCUAAAUUGUCAAAAAACUCGGUCACCUCAUUCCUGAGAUGGCGAUGAUGGAGUAGGAACAUAGCAUUUAAGCCAGCAUGUAACAGCUGGAUGGCAUCAGUGUGGUUGGGUGGGGUAGAGGGGAGAUACUGUGUCUCUCCGAGCAGCAGGGUGACCCAGUGACUUGAUGGAGGCAGCAGCCAGAGCAGCUGUCCGUGCUCAGCCUGGGAAGGAAGCUGUGUCCGAAGAAUCACAAAAUUCUGAAUCUUGGCUUCAAAACAAGAGCAUCAGAUGGAAAGGAAAAGGUCAGAGUUCGGCUGUCUGGACAUCUGUGCCUCCAUCCAAAGAAGUAAACAUUACAUUUAUGCCAGCUGGGAGCCACAAGUUAACUCUACCACUGAGGGGCUGACAAGACUGCUUAGGACGUAAAGGAGGAACUCCUACCAAGUCUGAUAAUCUAAGUUCCACGCUUGAAACCCACAGAACCAACAACUGCAAAUCUAUGGUGUAUGCGUACAACAUACACAUACACCCCCACCAAUAAAGUAAUUUAAAAACA